RNAcentral lists this long non-coding RNA (205 nucleotides) under Vigna radiata. Its description in RNAcentral is "long non-coding RNA (VRAD_LNC010007)". The record is from RNAcentral. Lineage: Eukaryota; Viridiplantae; Streptophyta; Magnoliopsida; Fabales; Fabaceae.
UGGAUGUGAGCUUCUAUUUGGUGUUGGUGCAGCUUGGGCCGUGGAGUGGAUUUCCUUUCUUGACCGUGUAACCCAAGUGAUUUCUUCAAGCACACACCAUUGCUAACGUGGUGCUGGCCGAUCCAAGCUUCUGGAUGCUCCUUUCUAUUUGCAUGGACCGUGGGCUUCAUGAUUGAAGAAGCAUGUUGCUGAAACCCAAAGGUGU